UACGUAGGGUGCGAGCGUUAAUCGGAAUUACUGGGCGUAAAGCGUGCGCAGGCGGUCUCGCAAGUCCGAUGUGAAAUCCCCGGGCUCAACCUGGGAACUGCGUUGGAAACUACGAGGCUGGAGUACGGCAGAGGGGGGUGGAAUUCCCGGUGUAGCGGUGAAAUGCGCAGAUAUCGGGAGGAACACCCGUAGCGAAGGCGGCAUCCUGGACCGGCAUUGACGCUGAGGCGCGAAAGCCAGGGGAGCAAACGGG
RNAcentral lists this ribosomal RNA (253 nucleotides) under uncultured bacterium. Its description in RNAcentral is "partial 16S ribosomal RNA". It matches the Rfam family "Bacterial small subunit ribosomal RNA", at positions 524 to 776 of the family's 1533-position model. The record is from RNAcentral.